UACGUAGGGGGCAAGCGUUGUCCGGAAUCAUUGGGCGUAAAGAGCGCGUAGGCGGUCCGAUAAGUCGGUUGUGAAAACUGGGGGCUCAACCCUCAGAGGCCGACCGAUACUGUCGGGUGCUAGAGUCCGGAAGAGGCGAGUGGAAUUCCUGGUGUAGCGGUGAAAUGCGCAGAUAUCAGGAGGAACACCAAUGGCGAAGGCAGCUCGCUGGGGACGGUACUGACGCUGAGGCGCGAAAGCGUGGGGAGCAACAGG
Molecule: ribosomal RNA, 255 nt
Filed under: uncultured bacterium
Lineage: Bacteria
Description: partial 16S ribosomal RNA
Rfam family: Bacterial small subunit ribosomal RNA
Source: RNAcentral